GCGAGUGAAGCGGGAAGAGCUCAACAUUGUAAUCUGGCUGCUUCGCAGUCCGAGUUGUAGUCUAUAGAAGCAUGAUCCGCGCCGGCCCUUGGGCAUGUCUGUUGGAACGCAGUGUCAAAGAGGGUGAAAAUCCCGUACAUACCAAGGACGACCGUGUGCAUUGUGGUCUGCUCUCUAAGAGUCGAGUUGUUUGGGAAUGCAGCUCUAAUUGGGUGGUAAAUUCCAUCUAAAGCUAAAUAUCGACGAGAGACCGAUAGCGAACAAGUACAGUAAUGGAAAGAUGAAAAGUAGCCUGCAGAGGCAAUGAAACAAUACGUGAAACCGUUUGUAGGGAAGCGAUGGAACCUUUUCACGCUGCGAGGGUUCAGCUUGGCUUCGGCUUAGUGUAUUCCCUCGUUUUGCGGACCAGCAUCAGUUUGCUUCGCAGUAUAAGGGUGAUUGGAACGUGGCUUCUCCGGAAGUGUUAUAGCCUUUCACUGGAUGCUGUGUCGCAGACUGAGGACUGCAGUGCGCCGUAAGGCAUGGCCUUCGGGCCACGAGCACUUAGGAUGCUGGGCGAAUGGGUUUCAACGACCCGUCUUGAA
This 584-nucleotide ribosomal RNA is filed under the name Sterigmatomyces halophilus. RNAcentral's name for it is "partial large subunit ribosomal RNA". It matches the Rfam family "Eukaryotic large subunit ribosomal RNA", at positions 89 to 658 of the family's 3401-position model. The record is from RNAcentral. Lineage: Eukaryota; Fungi; Basidiomycota; Agaricostilbomycetes; Agaricostilbales; Agaricostilbaceae.